RNAcentral lists this signal recognition particle RNA (291 nucleotides) under Callithrix jacchus (white-tufted-ear marmoset). RNAcentral describes it as "Metazoan signal recognition particle RNA (ENSCJAG00000067903.2)". It matches the Rfam family "Metazoan signal recognition particle RNA". Rfam says of the family: The signal recognition particle (SRP) is a universally conserved ribonucleoprotein. It is involved in the co-translational targeting of proteins to membranes. The record is from Rfam by way of RNAcentral. Lineage: Eukaryota; Metazoa; Chordata; Mammalia; Primates; Cebidae.
GCUGGGCGUGGUGGCACUUGCCUGUAGUCCCAGCUACUCGGGAGGCUGAGGUGGGAGGAUCGCUUGAGCCCAGGAGUUCUGGGCUGUGCGCUAUGCCAAUUGGGUGUCAGCACUAAGUUCGGCAUCAAUAUGCUGGGGGAGCAGGGGACCACCAGGUUGCCUAAGGAGGGGUGAACCGGCCCAGGUCAGAAAUGGAGCAGGUGAAAAAUCCCAUGCUGAUCAGUAGUGGGAUCACGCCUGUGAAUAGCCACUGUACUCCAGCCUGGGCAACAUAGCAAGACCCUGUCUCUU